GCUCAGAUUGAACGCUAGCGGGAUGCCUUACACAUGCAAGUCGAACGGCAGCACGGACUUCGGUCUGGUGGCGAGUGGCGAACGGGUGAGUAAUGUAUCGGAACGUGCCUAGUAGCGGGGGAUAACUACGCGAAAGCGUAGCUAAUACCGCAUACGCCCUACGGGGGAAAGCAGGGGAUCGUAAGACCUUGCACUAUUAGAGCGGCCGAUAUCGGAUUAGCUAGUUGGUGGGGUAAUGGCUCACCAAGGCGACGAUCCGUAGCUGGUUUGAGAGGACGACCAGCCACACUGGGACUGAGACACGGCCCAGACUCCUACGGGAGGCAGCAGUGGGGAAUUUUGGACAAUGGGGGAAACCCUGAUCCAGCCAUCCCGCGUGUGCGAUGAAGGCCUUCGGGUUGUAAAGCACUUUUGGCAGGAAAGAAACGCCGCGGGUUAAUACCCUGCGGAACUGACGGUACCUGCAGAAUAAGCACCGGCUAACUACGUGCCAGCAGCCGCGGUAAUACGUAGGGUGCAAGCGUUAAUCGGAAUUACUGGGCGUAAAGCGUGCGCAGGCGGUUCGGAAAGAAAGAUGUGAAAUCCCAGAGCUUAACUUUGGAACUGCAUUUUUAACUACCGAGCUAGAGUGUGU
RNAcentral lists this ribosomal RNA (634 nucleotides) under Achromobacter sp. 110609_136_C_C5. RNAcentral describes it as "bacterial SSU rRNA". It matches the Rfam family "Bacterial small subunit ribosomal RNA", at positions 22 to 651 of the family's 1533-position model. RNAcentral also lists the same sequence under 1 other name. Lineage: Bacteria; Pseudomonadati; Pseudomonadota; Betaproteobacteria; Burkholderiales; Alcaligenaceae. The record is from RNAcentral.